Molecule: long non-coding RNA, 1712 nt
Organism: Equus caballus (horse)
Lineage: Eukaryota; Metazoa; Chordata; Mammalia; Perissodactyla; Equidae
Source: Ensembl
GAUUCCGUGAGCAUCGCAGUGGCUGAGCCUGGAUCCCAAGCCCACCCCUGCAGAGGAAGAGCCAGGCCCAAGAAGACUCCAAGGACCUGACUGGCUCCUGAAGAGGGAUGGCAGGACUCAGAUCUAACGUCAGCUCUUCUGAAAGGCCCUCCCUCACCACUCAUUCUCAAGCUGUCCCCCGCUCCGGUCAUUUUGGUCCCAUCCUUCACAGGUCUUCCACCGUCUAAAAUGACCUUGUUUGUUAAUUUGCUUUAUGCUGCCUGUCUCCCCCACUGGACAGCAAGCCCCCGGAGGGCAAGGACUGUACUUACUCACGGCCGGAUAUGCCAUGGCUGGCACAGGGCUCACUGAACACUUACCAGGGAAAUCAACAAACGGGAGCAGAGAGAGGCAGAUGGGGAGCAUGGCUUGGCCAAGGAUGCCCAGAGAGGAGCCUGUGAAGUCAUCAAGGGCACAGAUGCCAACCUUUGCCUACUCUGGGGCCCCGGGUGGCAGCUGACUUGGAGCUUGGACCUGGAGCAGGCUGCCUGGGUCAACGCUCACUAACCGUGCCUCAGUUUCCUCAUACAUAAAGAGAUAAUCACGAUAAGAAUACAUUCUCAGGGGCUUGUUUGUAGGAUCAGAGGAGCUAAUACAUAUAAAGUGCUUAGAACAGGGCCUUAUCUCUGAUUGAUAGGUCAGUGCUCAACCCGUCCCUACCCCAACCACGACAAGGACAGGCCAGCAAGAGAGUUAAAGUAAUAAUCAGACAGACAAAUAAACGCAGCGUCCUAGGACCAGGUGCCAGGAGGUGUCGCCCCAGUGACUCCGACUCACCCUUGCAGAGCCCUUGACGUGUGAAGUGCAGGCACAGGUCUCCGACGGCACAGAGCCUCCUUCCUGCUCUCGCACCUGCCCCAGAGCUGGGGGACGGGGCCGCUGGCUCCCUGUGUGGUCCUGGUGAGUGACUGCCGCUCCCUGGACUUCAGUUUCCUGCCCUUUAAUUGGAAAUGAGAAUCCCAGAUGUGAAGCGGGUGGCAGUUUUGUCACUGCACAGGUGGGGAGCAGGUGCAAAGGCAUCCGGAGAAGGCCCUUUAAGGUCAUGCUUUGCAAACGUACAGGUUCCCCCAGUUAAGAAUAACCUGGGAAUUUUUUCUAAAAUGCAGUUUCUAAGGAUGCACCCCUUCCCCAGUUCUGAUUCUGUGACUCCGAGAGGGAGUCCUGGCGUGUUUUAAGAACCUCUUCAGGGGCAUUCCCCGGGCUGAGAGGUUGAGUUCGGGUGCCCUGCUUCGGUGGCCUGGGGUUCUGGGGUUCUGGGUUCAGAUUCUGGGCGCUCAUCAAGCCGCGCUGAGGCGGCAUCCCGCAUGGAAGAACAAGAGAGGCUUACAACUAGGAUAUGCAACUAUGUACUGGGGCUUUGGGGAGGAAAGAGAAAAAGAGGAAGAUUUGCAAAUAGAACCGCUUCGGGUGCCUCUGAGGUUGGAGCCAAUGGGAUGUAAUUGUACAUUCGUGCCACGAGAUGGAGCCACGAGCCCGGAGAAUGGUCUGACCCAGGCGGCUCCGAGCCCCGACGCUGCGUCACCAAGAGUGGCCACCAGAUGGCGCAGCCCGCCGGCAGGAGGGGCCGCUCCCCUGGCAGGAGGUGACGCCGGGACGGCCUCGCGGUGCAGCUUCCGUGGUUCCAGCCGUACACACGUCCUUCCCUGCGAGGCGGUUCAGCCCGGAGGAGGGGC